This 419-nucleotide ribosomal RNA is filed under the name bacterium. RNAcentral describes it as "partial 16S ribosomal RNA". It matches the Rfam family "Bacterial small subunit ribosomal RNA", at positions 355 to 776 of the family's 1533-position model. The record is from RNAcentral.
UGGGGGAUAUUGCACAAUGGGCGCAAGCCUGAUGCAGCGACGCCGCGUGGGGGAUGAAGGCCUUCGGGUUGUAAACUUCUUUUGCUCUGAACAAGGCGCACUUUGGGGUGUGUUGAGUGUAGGGGUUGAUUAGCGCCGGCUAACUACGUGCCAGCAGCCGCGGUAAUACGUAGGGCGCGAGCGUUGUCCGGAAUUAUUGGGCGUAAAGGGCUUGUAGGUGGCUGGUUGCGUCUGUCGUGAAAGAUCAUGGCUUAACUGUGGGUUUGCGGUGGGUACGGGCUGGCUUGAGUGCAGUAGGGGAGGGUGGAAUUCCUGGUGUAGCGGUGGAAUGCGCAGAUAUCAGGAGGAAUAACGGUGGCGAAGGCGGGUCUCUGGGCUGUUACUGACACUGAGGAGCGAAAGCAUGGGGAGCGAACAGG